RNAcentral lists this unclassified non-coding RNA (312 nucleotides) under uncultured fungus. RNAcentral's name for it is "partial contains small subunit ribosomal RNA, internal transcribed spacer 1, and 5.8S ribosomal RNA". The stretch from base 1 to 73 matches the Rfam family "Eukaryotic small subunit ribosomal RNA", at positions 1759 to 1831 of the family's 1831-position model. Lineage: Eukaryota; Fungi. The record is from RNAcentral.
ACAAACUUGGUCAUUUAGAGGAAGUAAAAGUCGUAACAAGGUCUCCGUUGGUGAACCAGCGGAGGGAUCAUUAUAGAGUUCUAAAAAACUCCAAACCCCAUGUGAACAUACCUAUCGUUGCCUCGGUAGGCGGCGUCGACCACGCCGGAGCGUGUGUGCCUGGCACGCAUGCCCCCGGUGCGGGUUUGCGACCCUGCCGAAGGCCCCCCUAAACUCUGUUUCUAUAGUAUCAUAUUCUGAAUUAUCAUAACUAAAUCAGUUAAAACUUUCAACAACGGAUCUCUUGGUUCUGGCAUCGAUGAAGAACGCAGC